GUACGGUCGUAAAUGACUAGGUGGCAGAAGCUAUGCGAUCGCUCCAUCACCUCCUAUCAAGGAUGUGAUUGGGCCGCCAUAGGGUUGUCAGCACCAUAAUAGAUGGUCCAUCUUUAGGUAUGUCAAAUGGAAUAAAGAUUUUGUUCUAUGGUUAUACUAUCAAAUGCCCUUUUUUUAAUUUGAAAAGCCUCACAUUCUAACAUAGUAUAAGUAGCAUAUGAGGUGGGCACCUCCUUGUUUGAGAGUGAGGGAAGGGUUGUUACAGCAGCG
This 270-nucleotide long non-coding RNA is filed under the name Elaeis guineensis (African oil palm). RNAcentral's name for it is "long non-coding RNA (EGUI_LNC018185)". Lineage: Eukaryota; Viridiplantae; Streptophyta; Magnoliopsida; Arecales; Arecaceae. The record is from RNAcentral.